This 85-nucleotide transfer RNA is filed under the name Felis catus (domestic cat). It matches the Rfam family "tRNA". Rfam says of the family: Transfer RNA (tRNA) molecules are approximately 80 nucleotides in length. Their secondary structure includes four short double-helical elements and three loops (D, anti-codon, and T loops). Further hydrogen bonds mediate the characteristic L-shaped molecular structure. tRNAs have two regions of fundamental functional importance: the anti-codon, which is responsible for specific mRNA codon recognition, and the 3' end, to which the tRNAs corresponding amino acid is attached (by aminoacyl-tRNA synthetases). tRNAs cope with the degeneracy of the genetic code in two manners: having more than one tRNA (with a specific anti-codon) for a particular amino acid; and 'wobble' base-pairing, i.e. permitting non-standard base-pairing at the 3rd anti-codon position. Lineage: Eukaryota; Metazoa; Chordata; Mammalia; Carnivora; Felidae. RNAcentral also lists the same sequence under 6 other names. The record is from Rfam by way of RNAcentral.
ACCUGGGUGGCUCAGUUGGUUAAGCCUCUGACUUCAGCUCAGGUCAUGAUCUCAUGGUUUGUGGGUUCAAGUCCCACAUCAGGUU